AAUGAACGUUGGCGGCGUGGAUUAGGCAUGCGAGUCGAGCGAGAACCGUAGCAAUACGGGGACAGCGGCGAAAGGGACAGUAACGGGUAGAUUAUCUGCCCUCAGGUUUGGGAUAGCUGCGGGAAACUGCAAGUAAUACCAAAUAAUAUCUCCGGAUCAAAGGUGUGAUUCCGCCUGAGGAUGAGUCUGCCUCCUAUUAGCUUGUUGGUGGGGUAACGGCCUACCAAGGCAUUGGGGGGUAGCGGGUGUGAGAGCACGACCCGCGUCAUUGGGACUGAGACACUGCCCGGACACCUACGGGUGGCUGCAGUCGAGAAUCUUCGGCAAUGGACGCAAGUCUAACCGAGCGACGCCGCGUGUGGGAUGAAGGCCUUCGGGUUGUAAACCACUGUCAGAGGGGAUGAAAUGCAGGUGGGUACUCCCAUUUGUUUGACAUAGCCUCAGAGGAAGUACGGGCUAAGUUCGUGCCAGCCGCCGCCGUAA
Molecule: ribosomal RNA, 483 nt
Filed under: uncultured bacterium
Lineage: Bacteria
Description: partial 16S ribosomal RNA
Rfam family: Bacterial small subunit ribosomal RNA
Source: RNAcentral